ACUUGGAGCCGGUCUCCAGGGCAGAUCUUCCGGGCGACUCGCCUUGUAAGAAAUUAGAAAAUGCUACAAUAAAAGCUUAAAAACUGAAAAAAAUGGGGCAACUUUUAGAAUGACAGCCGUCAUUUUGCGUCCGGCGUAAACGCGCACACGCCCCUUUGGAUGGAAGUGACCGAAAGACGGCGAAGUAGCUCAGAUCAUUCAUGGAAAGCCAUCUUCUUUAUUAAAAAUGCCACUGCUAGUACAACACAAGAAAUCAUAUGGCAGUAGAGUAAGCAUCAGCCAGAGGCGAUAACUCCUGGGUGGAUUCAGCUUCAGCGCAGAUUCUUCAGCAGGAAGAUGAAGUGAGCCCCUGUAUGGAGUGACUCCCCAGGAAGAGAAAACGAGCUGAAUGGAG
This is a long non-coding RNA of Sphaeramia orbicularis (orbiculate cardinalfish), 394 nucleotides long. RefSeq lists it as uncharacterized. The transcript has 5 exons. NCBI's taxonomy places the organism in Eukaryota, Metazoa, Chordata, Actinopteri, Kurtiformes, Apogonidae. The record is from RefSeq and is a predicted model, not a curated record.